This 98-nucleotide ribosomal RNA is filed under the name Indigofera aspalathoides. Its description in RNAcentral is "5.8S ribosomal RNA". It matches the Rfam family "5.8S ribosomal RNA", at positions 40 to 135 of the family's 154-position model. Rfam says of the family: 5.8S ribosomal RNA (5.8S rRNA) is a component of the large subunit of the eukaryotic ribosome. The record is from RNAcentral. Lineage: Eukaryota; Viridiplantae; Streptophyta; Magnoliopsida; Fabales; Fabaceae.
AGAACGUAGCGAAAUGCGAUACUUGGUGUGAAUUGCAGAAUCCCGUGAACCAUCGAGUCUUUGAACGCAAGUUGCGCCCGAAGCCAUUAGGUUGAGGG